Molecule: ribosomal RNA, 252 nt
Filed under: uncultured Eubacteriales bacterium
Lineage: Bacteria; Bacillati; Bacillota; Clostridia; Eubacteriales
Description: uncultured Clostridiales bacterium partial 16S ribosomal RNA
Rfam family: Bacterial small subunit ribosomal RNA
Source: RNAcentral
AUAAAGUGGAUUAGCGGCGGACGGGUGAGUAACACGUGAGUAACCUGCCUUAGACAUUGGGAUAGCCUCGGGAAACCGGGAUUAAUACCAAAUAAAACCAUAAUGACACAUGUCAUAACGAUCAAAACUCCGGUGGUCUAAGAUGGACUCGCGUCCCAUUAGCUAGUUGGUAGAGUAAAAGCCUACCAAGGCGACGAUGGGUAGCCGGCCUGAGAGGGUGAACGGCCACAUUGGAACUGAGAAACGGUCCAA